Molecule: ribosomal RNA, 253 nt
Filed under: uncultured bacterium
Lineage: Bacteria
Description: partial 16S ribosomal RNA
Rfam family: Bacterial small subunit ribosomal RNA
Source: RNAcentral
UACGUAGGGGGCAAGCGUUGUCCGGAUUUAUUGGGCGUAAAGAGCUCGUAGGCGGCUGGUCACGUCGGGUGUGAAAGCUCAGAGCUCAACUCUGAGAGGCCAUUCGAUACGGAUCAGCUAGAGGUAGGUAGGGGAAAGUGGAAUUCCUGGUGUAGCGGUGAAAUGCGCAGAUAUCAGGAGGAACACCGGUGGCGAAGGCGGCUUUCUGGGCCUUACCUGACGCUGAGGAGCGAAAGCUGGGGGAGCGAACAGG